This 253-nucleotide ribosomal RNA is filed under the name uncultured bacterium. Its description in RNAcentral is "partial 16S ribosomal RNA". It matches the Rfam family "Bacterial small subunit ribosomal RNA", at positions 524 to 776 of the family's 1533-position model. The record is from RNAcentral.
GACAGAGGGUGCAAACGUUGUUCGGAAUUACUGGGCGUAAAGCGAGUGUAGGCGGUCCGAUAAGUCGGGUGUGAAAGCCCUGGGCUCAACCCAGGAAGUGCACUCGAAACUGCCGGGCUAGAGUAUCGGAGAGGUUGGUGGAAUUCUCGGUGUAGAGGUGAAAUUCGUAGAUAUCGAGAGGAACACCGGUGGCGAAGGCGGCCACCUGGACGGUAACUGACGCUGAGACGCGAAAGCGUGGGGAGCAAACAGG